Centrocercus urophasianus (Greater sage-grouse) is the source of this 1282-nucleotide long non-coding RNA. RefSeq lists it as uncharacterized. NCBI's taxonomy places the organism in Eukaryota, Metazoa, Chordata, Aves, Galliformes, Phasianidae. The transcript is spliced from 4 exons. The record is from RefSeq and is a predicted model, not a curated record.
UUCUCCCUAAAGUACUGUAUAAGGUACAAAUGACUCGGGGCACAUUUGAUAAAGAUGCUUUUUUUCUUUCAGACAUUAAGUGAAUCUGUUUGAAAGAUAAUUGUGCUUGUAAAACAGAUGAGAUGCUCAGGUGCUGAAGGACAAGCUAGUGGGAUGCAGGGGAAGUUGCUUUUCCUUACUCAGCUUUUUAGAAGUAUUCAUUUGAUCAAUGAAACCUGUUCUUGUAAAAGUAAUGUGCCAUGGGUGCGUGUGAAGAGCUAAGGGAAGGGGGAAUCUACCAAGUUCCACGUGAUUUAGGUGGUAAGAAGGGGAUUUCUUUUGACAGUGCUCUCCAUCUCAAUCAUUUCUUUGUCCUGUAUCUUGGCAGCAUGCUUUCUUUUCAGUGUCCCCUUCCUAUUGCCUCUUACCUUGAGCUGAAUAUCAGGACUUAAAAUGUACCAGCACUUCUAAUACCUGGGUAUUACUUGGGAGGCAGGUGAGAUGUGGAAAGCACAACACUUUAAGUAAUCGUUCUUGAGCAAUAAGCUCAAAAAAACAUUUGAGGAGCCCAAAUCUUCCUGUCCAUCUUCUCCCUGGGUUCUGUGCUUAGCUCCAUCCCUGAAGCACCAUGUUUCCACACGCUGAGGUCAGGAUAGCUUCCAGAAUGAGUUGAAUCCACUUCUGCUUUUACAUUUGUGUUUGUUUGUUUGUUUUUUAAAUUGUAUUUUACUUGGGGAAUAUCUACAGUAACUGAUUUGCAAAGCCAUUAACCCGAGAAGCAAUGGAUCAGCUGUGAACAAGGAGCCUGACAUCGCUUCUACACCGUGUGAGGGUGAUAUGGCAUGAAAACUGCUUGUGCCCAGCAGCCGUGUUUCUGGGGAUGUGAGGACUGACCACCUUGCUGUUACAUAGUGCACCCAUUGCUGCCACCUGACGCUUCAGCGUGAGGCUGCAACUCCCUGCUUGGUGCGUGAGGUGCUGCUCCCCAGGACUUUCCUGCCAAAGGGCUUGUGCUACACCAACAGCCAUCAAAAUGACCUGGCUUUAGAGGAGAAAACAAUCCCUUGAAGUUAAAUGGGAUCAUUUCUGAGCGAAAACUGAGGGAUGGAAGUCUAUCCACCCGUCCAUCCCAUCGAGGGGCCACCAUGCUGGACCUGAUAAAACGGGACUGACUGAAGAGAAGACCACAUGCUGCCCUUACGUGAUGAUAUGUGGAUCUCAUCAGUGAACCAGCUUACCCUAAGAAGUCUUGGGUGCUGCUGCAACUAGUCAUCUUCUGCAGCUGGAGGCCCUUCACAGACCU